UUCUCAGCUGAACACUGUCAUCUGCCAGAGCUUCAGGCAAGAACCCAGAACAGAUGAAACCCCAGACAUGACAAAAUAAGCCAAGGAAUACCAGGCCAAGAUGUGAAAGGCCAGAUGAGAACAAGCAGCGUACACGAUUCUGUUGCCAACAGAUCUCCCCUAACAGUGUCGUGCACCAAAUUUCCACAGUGAAUGUCAGGAAAAAAUGGCAAUUGAGAUGAAGAAACUGAGGCAGACAGAGGUGAAGAAACUUGCACAAGGUCAAAGCACAAACUAUACAUAUUUUAAUAUGAUGAGUCUCCUGGUAUCUUUUAAAACGAUGUUGUUCAUACAUUAUAAUAAAUCCA
RNAcentral lists this long non-coding RNA (347 nucleotides) under Pan troglodytes (chimpanzee). Its description in RNAcentral is "lincRNA". Lineage: Eukaryota; Metazoa; Chordata; Mammalia; Primates; Hominidae. The record is from RNAcentral.